RNAcentral lists this ribosomal RNA (254 nucleotides) under uncultured bacterium. Its description in RNAcentral is "partial 16S ribosomal RNA". It matches the Rfam family "Bacterial small subunit ribosomal RNA", at positions 524 to 776 of the family's 1533-position model. The record is from RNAcentral.
UCCGGGGGGAGCAAGCGUUGUUCGGAUUUACUGGGCGUAAAGGGCGCGUAGGCGGUCGUGACAAGUCACUUGUGAAAUCUCCGGGCUUAACUCGGAACGGUCAAGUGAUACUGUCGGACUAGAGUACAGAAGGGGCAACUGGAAUUCUCGGUGUAGCGGUGAAAUGCGUAGAUAUCGAGAGGAACACCUGCGGCGAAGGCGGGUUGCUGGGCUGAUACUGACGCUGAGGCGCGAAAGCCAGGGGAGCGAACGGG